ACGGGCGCGCUCCUGCGGCAGCCGGGGCUGCCCUUCUGCGGGUCUGUACAAAGCUGACCACCACCACCUCCUCCCGACACCAAGCCUGCAGGAGGGCUAGAACCCAGGCUGUCCAGCCCGGGCGUCUCAGAUGGUGGCUUCUUCCAAGUGGCAAUAACUGGCCUGUGAAAGUUCACACACUUCAACCUUGCUUCUUAAAUUGGGCAGAGGGGUGGAAAACCAAAGGCCGCAUUUUUUUUUUUAUACUUUUUUUUUUUUUUUGUGUAUCAAAGUGCAGUCAGAGAGCUGCGUCCUGAUUGGUGCAAUGAUGAUGGUAUGAUUUCAUUCUCCCAAAUCAUCUUUGGAAAACUGUGAAACCCACACUAUGCUUAUGGCCUGCACAGUUACCUGAUGCCGGGCCCCAGAGGUUGUUGGAACAGACACUACUCAGAUGAUUCUUCCUUUACGGAGGAGGGGACAGUUUAAUACCCUAUCUCCCACCCGCCAUCGCUGUAUCCUGUGUAAUGAUGGGGGGAGGGAUAAAGCGAACGUGCUGUGGUCACAGCAGGAGUGACUCCCACCCGGGCUCACUUCCCGCUAGGCAGAAUUACUAAGAGCAAGAGGGAGAGAGAGAGAUCUUCGAUCCCAAGUGGUGCUGGUUUGGGUCCUGGCUGCUCCACGUCUGGUCCGACUUCCUUCCGAUGGCCUGGGAAGGCAGGGGAGGUGACCCAAGUCCUUGGCCGACGCCCCUGCGGGAGACCUGGAAGAAGCUCCUGGCUUCGGAUCGGCUCAGCGCAGCCCUUGAGCCAUCUGCGGAGUGAACCAGCAGAUGGGAGACCUCUCUCUCUGCUUCUCUGUAAC
Molecule: long non-coding RNA, 840 nt
Filed under: Oryctolagus cuniculus (rabbit)
Lineage: Eukaryota; Metazoa; Chordata; Mammalia; Lagomorpha; Leporidae
Description: lncRNA (ENSOCUG00000035254.1)
Source: RNAcentral